This 519-nucleotide ribosomal RNA is filed under the name Rhodotorula toruloides. RNAcentral describes it as "LSU rRNA". It matches the Rfam family "Eukaryotic large subunit ribosomal RNA", at positions 90 to 621 of the family's 3401-position model. Lineage: Eukaryota; Fungi; Basidiomycota; Microbotryomycetes; Sporidiobolales; Sporidiobolaceae. The record is from RNAcentral.
CGAGCGAAGCGGGAAGAGCUCAAAUUUGUAAUCUGGCACCUUCGGUGUCCGAGUUGUAAUCUCUAGAAGUGUUUUCCGCGUUGGACCGCACACAAGUCUGUUGGAAUACAGCGGCAUAGUGGUGAUACCCCAUUACACGGUGCGGACGCCCAGCGCUUUGUGAUACACUUUCGACGAGUCGAGUUGUUUGGGAAUGCAGCUCAAAUUGGGUGGUAAAUUCCAUCUAAAGCUAAAUAUUGGCGAGAGACCGAUAGCGAACAAGUACCGUGAGGGAAAGAUGAAAAGCACUUUGGAAAGAGAGUUAAAAGUACGUGAAAUUGUUGGAAGGGAAACGCUUGAAGUCAGACUUGCUUGCCGGGCUUGCUCGGUUUGCAGGCCAGCAUCAGUUUUCCGGGGCGGAUAAUGGCAGUUAGAAUGUAGCAGUCUCGGCUGUGUUAUAGCUUUCUGCUGGAUACGUCCUGGGGGACUGAGGAACGCAGCGUGCCGUAUGGCGAGGGCUUCGGUCCUUUCACGCUUAGG